Molecule: long non-coding RNA, 543 nt
Organism: Linepithema humile (Argentine ant)
Lineage: Eukaryota; Metazoa; Arthropoda; Insecta; Hymenoptera; Formicidae
Source: RefSeq, a predicted model, not a curated record
AUUAUUAUACACUAUGUUUACAGAACUAUAAAUAAAAAACUAGACAAAUUAUUGCGCAAACGAAUAAACAUUAUGCCUUUUAAACCAUCUUCAUUUUCGCUGCAAUCGAUUCAACAAGUGGAAGAUUUCAAUAAUAUUACAGAUGAAGAAUACGAAAAUGCGGUCGAGUAUUUACAUUUUGCAGGCGGCUUCACUCUACACGAUGCAAUAAAAUAUUAUAUGAAAGAGGCAAUAACUGAUGAUGCAAUUUAACAUUACUCAGCUUGAGGAGAGCGCGGAAAUCUUCUAUUGUUUGAAACUAAAUUAAUUAAAGCAAUAUAUGAUGCUGUAUGCAGGAAUUCACAUUUUGGAAAACCAUUGCGUGACGAAUAUUUCAGAGAAGUGGGAGAGGCAGUACGUUUUGGAAAACAAAGAAAUCGCAAUGUAACAAAAAGAAUGAGUGAAAGAGGAAGAGGACAACGACAGAGAUUGCGACAUGCAGCAGAUAACAACUUGUUUGGCGAAGUAGUAGAAGACAAUGCAAUCGAUAAUACAGACGAUGCA